This 427-nucleotide ribosomal RNA is filed under the name uncultured prokaryote. RNAcentral's name for it is "bacterial SSU rRNA". It matches the Rfam family "Bacterial small subunit ribosomal RNA", at positions 355 to 774 of the family's 1533-position model. The record is from RNAcentral.
UGGGGAAUCUUGGACAAUGGGGGCAACCCUGAUCCAGCAAUGCCGCGUGUGGGAUGAAGGCCUUCGGGUUGUAAACCACUUUUGGCGGGGGCGAAAUAUCGAUUGAUAAUACCAUUCGGUGAUGACGGUACCCGCAGAAUAAGCACCGGCUAACUACGUGCCAGCAGCCGCGGUAAUACGUAGGGUGCAAGCGUUAAUCGGAAGUACUGGGCGUAAAGCGUGCGCAGGCGGUUAAGUAAGACAGAUGUGAAAUUCCCGGGCUCAACCUGGGAACUGCAUUUGUGACUGCUUGACUAGAGUGCGGCAGAGGGGAGUGGAAUUCCGCGUGUAGCAGUGAAAUGCGUAGAUAUGCGGAGGAACACCGAUGGCGAAGGCAACUCCCUGGGCCUGCACUGACGCUCAUGCACGAAAGCGUGGGGAGCAAACA